Molecule: transfer RNA, 67 nt
Filed under: Allorhynchium sp. GX
Lineage: Eukaryota; Metazoa; Arthropoda; Insecta; Hymenoptera; Vespidae
Description: tRNA-Cys
Source: RNAcentral
AAUCUUAUAAUUUAAAAUAAAAUAUUAAAUUGCAAAUUUAAAAACAUAAUUAUUAUUAUUAAGAUUU